Seriola aureovittata is the source of this 1970-nucleotide long non-coding RNA. RefSeq lists it as uncharacterized. The transcript is spliced from 5 exons. The record is from RefSeq and is a predicted model, not a curated record. NCBI's taxonomy places the organism in Eukaryota, Metazoa, Chordata, Actinopteri, Carangiformes, Carangidae.
UGAAUCCGCGUUUCCAGCAGGUGCUUAAAAUUGUGUAGAGGAGUGAAACGCGUAAAGCGUAAAUAUCUGUUAAAAACUAUAAACAAAAGUCACAAUUUGGAGACAGAAGUUUCCUGAACCCAGGUGAUGUUCAAGGAGGAGGAGGAGGCUCCACCAGGCCGACUAGCUAGCGAUUACAGGGUGCCAGUUACUGGAGCAAGUGGAACAUCUCAGGAGACAGGAGCGCUGUGCACGAUUGUCAUGGCAACAACGAUGGGAAGACAAGAUGGAGGAGUCAUGGCUGGCCUGGCCUCCUUUUACAGGAGAGGAUACUGUUUUCGAUGACCACAGAAUUGAAACUAGAGAGACCGCGUAUGGGGAAAUCCAAAAGCCAAAAUGUGGCUGUGUUCAUUUGAGUCGCACUCUGCUGCCAUAGCACGGAGCAUUAAGGUGCUGCAAGCCUCACCCCUGGAUCCUCCCUCAUUUUUGGUGGAACUGCAGCUGAUUACUCACCUGGGCUAUAUAAGAGACUGAGGAACUGUACUCCCUCUCUCUGCCAUGUUUCCUGUUGCCUGCCUGCUUAUCUAUCUGUGUGAUUUGUGAAUGCACCUUCUGUGCCCGCCAGUACUUUUUGUUUGGUAAAUUUAAGUUUUUGAUUAAGAAGAAGCGGCCAAGAAGCUUGUAAGGGAGAGCUGCCAAUUUGUGUGUUUAAUCCACUGUUUCACCUGUUUUUUGAGAUUGUCAGGGAGGCCAGUAUUGUAACCUUUUAUUUUGUUUGUUUCAGAUUCAGUUUUUUUUUUGUUCUAAGUAUCAUCAUUCUGUUUGUUAUUUUGGCUUUGGCUCUCCCUGACAUUACACUGUGCCUCAGGUUGGAAAACCUUGAAAAUCCUGAAUCUUGUGACUCCUCAAAUUGUUCAUCUACUUUUAUGUUACUCCCGUUUCCCCUAGACCAACUUGGGGUCGUAACAUAAGGCAUAGUCAUAGUCAUAGUAUAAUAAGGAAAUAAACGUCAUAGUAUAGUAAGGCAUAAAAUGUCAUAAAAACAUCAAGAAAUGUCAUAGUAUAUUGAGGCAUAAAAAAAUCACAUUAUUAUAAGCUAUAUAAUAUUAUAAUAAGGAAUAAAAAGUAAUAACAACGUCAUAGAAAAAACAAAAACAACAUAGUAUAGUAUGGCAUAAAAACGUCAAAAAAACAUCAUAGUAUAUUAAGGCAUAAAAGGUCAUACAAAAAUGUUAUAGUAUGGUAGUGAAUAAAACGACAUAGUAUAGUAAGGAAAAAAAAAGGCAAAAAACGUUAUAGUAUAGUAAGGCAUAAAAUGUUAUCAAAGGGCCCUGAGCAGUAUGAUUCUAUUUUGUUUUGGCCCGUUUCCUGUGUGGACCUCCAUUCUUGGUUAUGCUCCUAAAUGAGCUGGGCUCAUCCGUAUAAAAAGGGAUAAAAAGUCAUAAAAAAGUCGUAGUAUAGUAAGGCUUGAAAAAUAUCAUCAAAAAGUCAUACUAUAUUAAGGUAUCUAAAAUGUCUAAAAACAUAUUAUAGUGAGGGAUAAAAAAGCCCAAAAACAUCAUAGUAUAGUAUGGCAUAAAAUGUCAAAAAAUAUGAUAGUGUACUAAGGCAUAAAAGUUCAUAAACACAUCACAGUAUUGUAAGGAAUAAAACGUCAUAGUAUAGUAUGGCAUAAAAUUGCCAAAAAAUGAGCCCUGAGCAGUAUGAUCCUAUUUUGUUUUGGUCUGUUUCCUGUGUUUUUUUUCAGAUACUUCCUGAUUACCUGACUGACUUCCCCUGAAUGGGGAUAAACUGGGAUAUUCAAGAUGGCCUCUCUGGAAGGCUCCCAACGUGAUUUUAUGUUGUUGUAUAUUGUGUUGUAUAUUGUGUUAGGCUAAUGCCUCAGUUUUUGUACAUGUAGUUUAAGUUGGCUUUGAUUUUCAUAGCACCCAAUAUCUACACUACAUUACUGACUACACGUUUUCAAGUUUGGUUAGGUAAAAUUGAGUUAU